ACAGGGCUUUUUAAGUCUUGUAAUUGGAAUGAGUACAAUGUAAAAACCUUAACGAGGAACAAUUGGAGGGCAAGUCUGGUGCCAGCAGCCGCGGUAAUUCCAGCUCCAAUAGCGUAUAUUAAAGUUGUUGCAGUUAAAAAGCUCGUAGUUGGAUUUUGGGAUAAGCUUGUUGGGCCGCCGCGAGGUGUUUGCCCCGACGAGGGUAUCCUUCCUCUCGAAAUUGGCGUGUGCGCUUAAUUGAGUGUGCGUCGAGUUUGGGACUUUUACUGUGAAAAAAUUAGAGUGUUCAAAGCAGGCUAUCGCUUGAAUAUUUCAGCAUGGAAUAAUGGAAUAGGACGUUGGUUCUAUUUUGUUGGUUUCUAGGACCGAAGUAAUGAUUAAUAGGGAUAGUUGGGGGCAUUAGUAUUUAAUUGUCAGAGGUGAAAUUCUUGGAUUUAUGAAAGACUAACUUCUGCGAAAGCAUUUGCCAAGGAUGUUUUCAUUAAUCAAGAACGAAAGUUAGGGGAUCGAAGAUGAUCAGAUACCGUCGUAGUCCUAACCAUAAACUAUGCCGACUAGGGAUUGGUGGAUGUUAAUUCUAUGACUCCAU
This 589-nucleotide ribosomal RNA is filed under the name Sphaerothecum destruens. RNAcentral's name for it is "SSU rRNA". It matches the Rfam family "Eukaryotic small subunit ribosomal RNA", at positions 485 to 1080 of the family's 1831-position model. Lineage: Eukaryota; Ichthyosporea; Dermocystida. The record is from RNAcentral.